RNAcentral lists this ribosomal RNA (253 nucleotides) under uncultured bacterium. RNAcentral's name for it is "partial 16S ribosomal RNA". It matches the Rfam family "Bacterial small subunit ribosomal RNA", at positions 524 to 776 of the family's 1533-position model. The record is from RNAcentral.
UACGAACUGUGCAAACGUUAUUCGGAUUCACUGGGCUUAAAGGGUGCGUAGGCGGCCAUGUAAGUAGGGUGUGAAAUCCCCCGGCUUAACCGGGGAACUGCGACCUAAACUGUAUGGCUGGAGUGAGAUAGGGGUGUGUGGAACUUCCGGUGGAGCGGUGAAAUGUGUUGAUAUCGGAAGGAACGCCGGUGGCGAAAGCGACACACUGGGUCUCAACUGACGCUGAGGCACGAAAGCCAGGGGAGCGAACGGG